CUGAUUGUCUUGGCCCAGGAGAGGCUUAGGGAACAGAGCUUUGAGAAACAGCCCCCAGCUCUGGUUCCUGCAGUGUGGCUUCCAGCACUGAAGCCAGAACAACUGAAGGGAAAGGGCUCCAGGCUCAGGCAGGCACUGUCUUCUGGAUGGUUCUUGGAGGUGGAUCUGUAGAGUCAGGCAACCCAGCUGGGAACGUGGUUCCACCACUGCCUGGCUGGGUGGCCUGGGGCAGGAGGCUUCAAUUCUCUGGCCUCAGUCUCCACAUCUGUAAAAAGAGACCACACCUCCCCUCACCUGGCUGGGAUGAUGCAAGGACUAGAGAAAACACAUGUUAGGUGCUUUGCUCAGAGUAGGGAUUCAGGAAAUGGUGGCCCUGGUAAUACUGCCUGUGGUCAUCAGGAGAGGAACUUGGGGCCCAAGGAACCCCUGUGGGCUGGAUGGCUAUAUGUGCGGCUGUUGGUCCCCCAGUUACGGUGGAGACCCCUCAGCAGAAGGAAUGACUCUGGCCUGAGGCUCAGGGCCUGUGUGUGCCGCCCAGCCCACAGGGCUUCCAUUCCCCAAUUUGUGUGUUCCUGGGACAAACUGCAGCCAGAACAGGGUACCUUGCAUGGCCCUCUGCCUGAGACAGGACCCCACAGGCCUGGACUGGAAAGCAAAGGCUUGGAUUGGAUUGAUAUGGCCAAACGUGGGUGUCCAGAGCCUGGCUGGGAGAGGUGGGAGGUCAGCCUGACUGGACUAUGCUGGGCUCUGAGCCACACAGACUUUCUGCUCUUUAUUCUGCAGGAGAAAGGUGGGUGACACAGAGGGUUAAGUAGUGAGUGUGGGGAGGGUGUGUGUGAUCAGGCCUGGGGCUGGCAAAGGCACUGAGCUGCCCUCAUCCCCUCUCAGGCAUGGGGAGCAGCAGCCCCUUCUCACCUUCUCGGCCUGGCAUCCCCACUGGUCCCUAAGAUCCGCCCCCCUGGCACCUGGCAGUGGCCCUGCUUUCCCCCACGUCGGGUUACCAGACCUAGCAAGUAAGAGUCAGGGGCCUGCAAGAGAACACAGCGAAAUUCUUUCUGACAUAAAUCAUAUCAAUGUUUUCUUAGGUCAGUCUCCCAAAGCAAUAUAAAUAAAAGCAAAAAUAAAUUUCUAAUCAAACUCAUAAGCUUUUGCCCUGCAAAAGAAACUGAAAACAAACGGAAGAAACAAGCUCCAGAAUGGGCGAAAAUAUUUGCAAAUGAUGCAACCGACAGGGGUUGAAUUUCCAAGAUAAAGAAGCAGCUCAUACAGCUCAAAAUAAAAAUAGACAGCCCAAUCAAAAAAUGAGCAGAAGACCUAAAUAGACAUUUCUCCAAAGAAGACAUACAGAUGGCCAACAAGUCAAUGGAAAGAUGUUCAGUAUCACUAAUUAUUAGAGAAAUGCAAAUCAAAACUACAACGAGGCGUCACCUCACACCAUUCAGAAUGGCCACCACCAAAACAUCUACAAAUAAUAAAUACUGGAGAGGGUGUGCAGAAAAGGGAACCCUCCUACGCUGUUGAUGGGAAUAUAAAUUGGUGCGGCCACUGUGGAGCACAGUAUGGAAGUUCCUUAACAAACUGAAUAUAGAGUUUCCGUAUGAUCCAGCUAUCUCACUCCUGGGCAUACAUAUCUGGAGGAAAUUCCCAUUUAAAAAGAUACAGGCACCUCAAUGUCGAUGCUGCCGCUACUGCUAAGUCGCUUCAUCGUGUCCAACUCUUAGCGACCCCAUGGACUGCAGCCUACCAGGCUCCUCCAUCCACAGCAUUUUCCAGGCAAGAGUACUGGAGUGGGUCGCCAUUGCCUUCUCCAGCAAUGUCUAUAGCAGCACUAUUUACAAUAGCCAAGACAUGGAAGCAACCUACGCGUCCAUCGACAGAUGAACAGAUAAAGAAGAUGUGAUAUAUAUACUACUCACUCAAUCAUAAACAAAUGAAAUAAUGCAUUCUAUACCAGUGUGGAUGAACCUAGAGAUUACCAUACUAAGAGAAGUAAGCAAGACAAAUAUCAUAUGUUAUCACUUAUGAGUGGAAUCUAAAAAAUAAAAAACAAUACCGAUGAACUUGGGACAAGACAGGAACAGACUCACAGACAUAGGUUACCAAAGGGGAACUAGAGGAGGGAAAAAUUAGGAGUUGGGGGGUAGCAGAGACACACUACUAUAUAUAAUAUAGAUGAAGAACAAGGUCCUAUUGUAUAUGCAGAAAAUUAUAUUCAAUAUCCUGUCAUAAGCCAUAAUGGAAAAAAACGUGUAACUGAAUCCCUUUGCUGUAUACCUGAAACUAACAUAAUAUUUUGAAUCAGCUAUAUUUCAAUAAAAAUAAAUAAAAGUCCUGGUGAAAUUGACCUUGAGGUAACUAACUUUUUAGUAUAAGUAUGUCCCAUGCAAUUUGGGGGAUGUACUUACAACUAAAAAAAUUAUCAGUUUUGUCAACUUUGAUUACCUGGUGUCUUCCAUUGCCUCUGGCACCCUGUAGCUCCAGGUCAGAGUGCAUCCAGGCCCGUGAAGCCGGGGCUCCCACCCAGGGGGCUGCCCACCUGCCCCCGGGCCUCUGACCUUUCUGCUUCCCCCCAGAAGCUGCUCCCACUUCACAGGCCUCCUCGCACCUGACCUGGGCCCUGUCCUUCUCCAGCCACAGCCGGUGCCCGGGAAGGCAGGGCAGAGGGCCGAGGGAGGAGAUGAGCCCUUCUUGGGGGCAUCUCUCAGGAUCUCCGUCCACCUUGCUGGGGGGUGGCGGUGCCUGUGGUGAGCCCUGGAUUUCUACCCACAUGGGCCCAAGCUGUGCCCAGGCCUCUGACUCCCCAUCUGUGAAAUGGGCAGAGAUGCAUUGCCUUGCACACUCCUGGGUCCUUCACUUGCUCAGCCCUCACCUGCUCUGUGCUGGAUACACUGGUCUAGACACAGGGCCAUAGCACUUGGCAAGACACACAAGGUUCUUGCCCUCUUCGGGCCAACAUUCCAGUUGUAGAUGGAUGGUGUAAUGUUUAGUCUCUAAGUUGUGUCUGACUCUCUGCGAUCCCAUGGACUGUAGCCCACCAGGCUUCUCUCUCCAUGGGAUUUCCCAGGCAAGAACACUGGAGUGGGUUGCCAUGCCCUCCUCCAGGGGAUCUUGCCGACCCAGGGAUCGAACCCUUGUCUCCUGCAUUGCCAGGUUGAUUCUUUACCACUGAGCCACCAGGGAAAACUGUAGAUGGAUAAAAACAACCAAAUUAAAAAAAAAAAAACAAAGGCACAAAAGUUGUCUGAAAAGUCCACUCAAUGCCCCAAACAAAUGUCCCUGUCCAGCCUGGGAAGGCACUAUGGAGCCGCUGAAAUGGGGUAAGACUGGAUGGAGAUGUUCUGUCAGCAUCAGAUACACACCGGGGUUUAAAGGAUUAGUAGGCAAAAAGGAUGUAACGUAUUUUCUCAUAAUUUUGAAACUUCUCCCAUACUGAAAUGAUUGUGUAUUGGGUUAAAGUGCAAUUAAAAUCAACUUGCCCUGAUUUUACUUUUCUAGAUGUGGCUAGGAGCAUACUUCCUAUGACGCAUGUGGCUUGCAUUACAUUUCUGUUCUACAGCGUGAUCAUCUGGGAAUUCAAAAGGAGGACAGGGAAGUCACUCUGAACUGAGCCUCAGCAUUGAAAAGAAUUUUUAUGCCCAGGUUGAAACAAAUGUAAACAGCGUAAUAAACACUUGUGUACUUGUCCUGGUUCAAAAUUCUCAAACCAGCUCUUCCUUUUGUAUUGACCUAUUUCCUUCUUCUGUAUGAUUUUUUCUUUUCCUGGUUGUGCCGGAUGUUUGUUUCAUCAUGAAGGCAGGCUUAGUUGCCCCGCAGCUUGUGGGAUCUUAGUUCCCUGACCAGGAAUUGAACCCAUGUCCGCUACAUUGGAAGGCAGAGUCUUUAUCACCAGACCACCAGAGAAAGUCCCCUUCUUCUGUAUGAUUUUGAAGCAAACCCCAGCAUCUUAUCGUUUCACUUUAAUACUUUGAUGCAUAGCUCUGAAAAUGGACUCUUGGAAAAACAAAAUCACAGCAAUCCUGCUCCUAAGUACAGCCUCAAGAGAAC
Long non-coding RNA from Bos taurus (domestic cattle), 4044 nucleotides. NCBI's taxonomy places the organism in Eukaryota, Metazoa, Chordata, Mammalia, Artiodactyla, Bovidae. The record is from Ensembl.